CGGCGCGGCGCGGCCCGGCUCUGAUGUCAGCGCCUCGCCGCGGCCGGCCCCGGCCGCCGGGGGAGGGACGGGGCGGGGCGGGCAGCGGGGCCUGCGCCCGCCGGGGCGGGGAGGCGGCCCGGCACGGCCCCGCCGCUUCGCUCCGCCGGGGACCCCCGCCGCAACCCCCCGGCACGGCCCCGCCGCUUCGCUCCGCCGGGGACCCCCGCCGCAACCCCGCCGCUUCGCUCCUCCCCAGGCCGACUGGGGGGCUCAGCGCUUCCGAGGGGCUGCAGGACAUUGGGGGGGCCCGGUGGGGUGCAGAUCUCAGCCACCUGCCCCCAAACCGGCUGUUUCCCUACCCUGGUGAGACCCGCGGUGCGGUGUCAACAGGUCGUGGCAUUCCCAGUUGCUGCCCCAGUGACACCCAGUUAACGUGUCUGGCAUCUUCUCGGUGGCCCAAAAGCGUCCCUAACCUGACCAAAACAGGCUCUGACACAUCAGCAGCUACUGGCACCCAAGCGCCUUGUUCACCCAUUGCUCCAUCUCUACCCAAUUCCCAGGAAGAUGAGAUGUAAACACCACCACAGGCACACAGAGCAUCAGAAAGGCAGGGGGUGAGAAACCCGCCCAAAAAGAAUAACAGCCAUCCUGACAGUAACAAAUUAACCCCAAUUUCUGCAUUCAGAACCCAAUACGGAUACUGAUGAGGCAAAGAGAGAAGGGAUCUGUGCCAAGGUGCAGCGUACCAUGGAGUUCCCUGGCACCUGGCAAAAUCCAAUGAACGUUUCUUCAGCUGGAGGUCAAUGGAGAAUCCAGACUUUUCAUUUCUGGACAUAAAAAGCACAGCCUGCUUGUCACUGAUAAUCCCUGUUUUCUAAGUAAAGAACACAUGUUGGUUGACGUUCAUCCCUCGCUCACCCAGCUGUCCCACAAAAAGCAGCGAGCGUGCCCUGCGGAAUGGAGGUAAAGAAACGCGCCCAAAGCCUUACCAGGAGCCAACAGCAGAGCCUAGAGCAACCUCCCGAGGCCCAGCCACUGCUUUUUGGCAGGCGGGUACGCAUCCAGCCGCACGCACAAGCCCACCCUGCGUGGCAGAGCUGAGGGACUGGCGUGCCACUGGGGUGGCGUGGGGCAGGACACGCUCCAAGGCCCCACAGAUCCAGCAGCCGCAUCCACGGGGCUGUGAUGCAACAGGCAGCCCCAGCCCCAAGCCAUGCACGGGCUCCAGUCUCACCAUUAACCAUGAACAGCUCUGGAAGCCCCUCUGAAACACCCUGAAGGAGAGUCCUGGUGCACACCGCGGUCAGAAACCACCAUCCCCGUUCACCCACACUGGUGUCACAAGGACAGAGCAAGCUGUGGAAGUGGGACUUCCCUCUUCUAUUUGCAAGUAAAGGAAAGCAAUAGCAAAAGAACACGUCUGCAGCGGUCAGGAGGGGGAACACCAGGCCCACGGUACACGAGACCUGCACCAAGUCCUCAACAAGCAGCUGCCUCCAGAAGAAAGCAAAUAUCCAGAGCCUGAAAGGGGCAGGACAGAGAAGAGCAAGCUGUGAGCUCUGCCAGUCCCUGCACGCAGGCAGAGCCGCUUGCACCGGAGCGGGAGGCACCUGGUCCACGUCUGCCAUCCCAGCACCUUCUGUGAUCAAUAACAUCCUCUCGGACUUUUUUAGACAAGCCAAUAAAGCCACCCCACGUGUUUAAAAAAAAAAACAACAAACCAUCUGAUGAUUUUAAAAGCCGGUUUUUAACCGGUGACUGAUCAAUAGCUGGGUGAAGCAGCAGAUCCAGCUAAUCAAAGUACGUCAUUAGCAGCAAGAGAUGGAGCGUCUGUCAGGAGGUGGCAGCGAUAGUCACCAGAUGGGAGACUCCCUAGGCCUACUAGGAAGGAGGCCAAUGCCGUGAUUUAUUGCAGAAGACCUGCCAAACGCUUUGCAGACCGUCUGGGCUGGACAUAGAAGCACCGAGGGUGAUUUUUCCACCUGGAAACUGUCCUGAUUCAUUGCCCACAAGAUGAUGCCAGAUGUACUUCCUGAACUCAGAGUCACAAAAACCGCUAGUCAGAAAUACAUAAAUAUAUAUCUUCUAAAAUAAUUUGCUUUGAAAGGGAUGUAGUCCAACUGACAAGCAAAACCACAGAUCGUGCACAAGGGAAAACUGAGCUUGCGAGCAAAUAUUAGUUCUUGCCUAAGGCACAUCUGAGCAGCAGAGCAGCGUCGUGGCCUUGGAGCAAGGAGCAAUCAGCAUCUCAUGUCCAGCCCUCACAUCACUUUUUCUAAGUGCAGAUUUAUCUCAUUUAUUUUCUGAGAAAACCCACAGCAAUGCCCUACAGAGAGGGGCUGGGAUUUCAGCUCAGCGAUCAGACUGAGAGCAUCCGAUCGUAUGACUAAAAGGCGUCCCUCGCACACCAUGGGUCCUGUCGGAGGGGCACCCAGCUCUCUGCAGCUCCUGGGCCUGUACACAGCCGCUGUGACCCUGGGGGUGGUGUGUGUGUGUUUCCAGCCAAACAUGUCACCUUUUGUAGCACAGAGCUGUCUGCUUCGCCACCCGCUGCCCCGAUGACAGGCGAGAAGGCAGAUCCUGCCUCGUGCCUCCACAUCACUUAUCGCUAUGUGAAAUUUAACGGGCAGCUCUGGAGCAGAGAUAGGGAGCCCAGAGGCUUCUCUUUGAGUGCAAAAUAACUCAGAUGAACUUGAACAGACUCAGCUCCUCAUCAGCAAGAGGUGGCAUUGGAGCAGGUCAGACUUCUAAGGUCAGAAGGGACUGUGCGCUCCCAUGCCCGCAUGGCACAGAGACCCCUCGCAGGGGCCCAGCUGACAAUAUUUGUAAUCUGAAAAGGUUGCCAGAGGCCCAAAACAAGGAAAUAAGAUAAACCAGACCCAAAGAUGGACCAACAGUCUCCCCAGCCUGAGCCCAUCAGCCGAAGAGGACGCGCUGCAGGAUCACGCAGAGAUUUGGAGAUCACCUGGGAGGUCCCCGCAGGGAAGGUGAAAAACAUGGCAUAAAGUGGAAAAAGACACAGGGCGGACACGAGGCCAGAGGAAUGGCAGCACACGAGGGUUACAGGCGCUGGGCUGGGGCAAAGGGACUUGCUUUGAAACCAAGCAUCGUGAGGCGCAGUGCCCCUGGACAGCAGCUCACCCGAUGCUGCAGAGGAGCAAUGGGGCGAAACCCAGGAGCAGGAGAGGGGUCUUCGCACCAGCCUGGGCUGAACCCAACCUGGCGGGGCCCCCACGAGCCACAGGUGUGCCCCCCUCCCCACGCCACCUCCCAGUGCACUUAUAUCUGCUGGCAUCCACAUAUAACCCAAAUCCCUGCCAGCAGAGAGGAGGCAUCUGUGUGACAAGAUGACAGAGAUUAGCUCCGUUAGCAUAAGCAGCUCCUGGGCUGGCCCUAAUCCAGAGGGACAUAUGCAGCCCAGGCGCCGCAGCUCUCCAUCUUCCCUGGGCUGCCCUGAAGGACCCGUGUGAGCUGGAGAAGACAAUUUUCACCAGUGUCUCUACAUCAGGAUGGGCACCACGUGCCAGCGGGGACCCUGCAAAUGGUCCCAGUUCAGCCCAGCCCCUGCUAACAGAGAUGGCUCAUUCUGCUCCCACGGCUGCCUCUCAGCCCAGGGGCUGCUCUAACAGGAGCACGGUGGCCUCGGGGCAGAGUUUGCCCUCCGUGUUUCUCAACACAGCCUCUCCAGGUGUUUUGUACAGCAAACAAAAGCAGGCUAGCUAGCUGUAGUUCAAAAUGCCCCACAUACACGACAGCAACUGCUCUCUGUAGGUUUCCAUACAAACCCGGGCAGUUAGGCAUCCCAAAAGAAACAGCUUUUUACACCCCACUGCUUGACUUUCACCUGCAGAAAGAGCAUUUUUGGGAGCCCAACUUACCUGCAAGCAGAACCCAAAGCAAAGUGCUGAAGAGCUCCCGGGAAUCAGCUACAGAGCAAACGGAGGCUCAGUCCUCACCCCUCUGCAGUAGCAGUUACUCCCUGCUAGGAGGGAGGACCAGCACUGCUGGAGGGAAGCUCCUGCCAUGGCAAUUAACAGCAUUAAUUGCCAAUCACCAGCAGCUGGGCCUCACUGAACCCCAGGCACCCAGGUGUGCGAGCAAGGAGCACCGCCUGCCCUGCCUGCAGGGAGGGGGGAAAGGGGAGUGCGACUCAUGAGAAGACAAAAAUCGUGUGAUCUCCUGAACCCCACAAAAAAGUGGCUGAGAGGGGUUGUGGGCGAUGCCUCAGCGUAAGGCACAGGGCGGCCGAAGAGCUGAGGGUGAGGCUGAGGGUCCGCAGUGGUGCGAAGAGCGGGAGUUGGGGCGCAGGGAAGCCCGCAGCCCCCGCUCUGGGCACGGCCAGGGUCAGGGCUGGGGGGGCAAGACAAGGGACUGGCAGUGGCUCAGCCCUCGCCUCCCCGCGCAGGUGCCCGUGGCAGCGGGGCACUGACGGGGCUUUAUCUGCGUUUCUACGCCUGGUGGAAAAACAUUUGGGCCACUGAGCGACAGGCUAAAAGUGUCCGGGGUCAGGCAGAGCAGCUGCCGGGGCUGUGCUGGAAGGGCUUUGCUCUGAAACCGCCGUAUCCGCCCCGGCGUGCUUAAACCAGUAACACAAGAUUACAUUGCAUCAGGCUGGGACCUGGUAUGUGGUGGGAGCCAGAAAUAAAACUGUUUGUGUAGCAACUGAAAAAAUAGCAACGGGAGCUAGGUGAGGUGUACCUCUCUCUUUUUUUUUUUUUUUUUUAGGCCAGAAAUAUUAAUUUAUUUGGGUGGAAGAGAUUUGUUUACAUUUUAAAGGGGUUUUGCUUGGGAUGUGAGCUGCCCAGAACCUCCGCAUGCUGCAAGCGGCAGCAGGGGUGUUUCCACGCAGGUCUGCAACUCCCUGGCCCCAGCAACCUCUGCAUUGCCCUUCCACGUACCACAGGCUCUCGGACACUGGUGUACGCUGAGGGACACUGGAUGCGGCGCAAAACAGAGCUAGCAGGAUGCACAUACAGGCUUGAACCAGGCUGUACCCAGAUGUUUGGAAGACAUCACCUACAUUGCUGUGUGCUAGUCCCUUUCCAGCUGUUAUCCCACCUUACGGCCAGGGAAAGGGAGUCAGAGAGGUGAUUUGGGCUUAUUCGGAUAGAAUUCAGGUCAGGACCGAGCACUGCGCCAGCGCAACCCCUGCGGUGGCAGGAUCCGGGUGGAAGCAGCAAGCUCCACAGCAGGCAGACAGAAAAUAAGGGAGAUGCUCUGAAUAAUGAGUGCAAACCAGUUACAUAAAAAAUAAGAGAAUAACUGUCCUGCAAGCAUAGGGCCCCUCUGCUCUGCUGCUCAGGGCAGCUCUCCCAGGGCUGCGGCUUCCUGCGUGAACUGCAGACAGGCGAGUGAAGCACAAGGUCACCCCGCAGCUGCAGGCAGAGCAGGAACAACCCUCCCACCUCCCACGCCUGCCACCCCCGCUGCAGGGAUGCUUAAUCCCUCAGCAGUGCCACGUAGGGAGAACUCUGCAAAUAGCGUCAAGGAGGUUAGAGAGAGGGAAAGGAAGGGGGGAGCACGCCUGAAAUUAGGUCCACCAAAAGCUGCAUUUGUUGUGGCCCUACGGGAAAGUAAAGAGUCUUUCUGUAACGCUGCCAGUUCAUAGAAAGGGCCAUGGAGUGAGAUCAGAACCUGAGAAAGCAUUUCAUGAAGGCUGUCUAAUUCGCCGUAUGUAAUUAGACCUAACAGCGUGAAUGGUGCAUGAAGCUCUGGUUUUAGUUUAAUAGAAAAAAAAAUCAUCAGAGAAUAUUUAUAAAAGUCUGUGUCAUUCUUGUGCAUUUCCAUCACAUGGGGAUGUGUCAAAGGAUCAUGCGUAGUCCUGCAAGUGCUGAAGAGGGGUCUGGAAAUAGUUAUGGCAAAGCUUGUGAUCCCACUAGACUGGGGAAAAGAAGAAGAACAUCCAGCUUGGAGGUCUUGGCUUUCUUUUACCCUCCUGCCAUCUUUCUGCUUCUCCUAAAAGCACCACCAGCAUCCCACGCAGUGAGAAAUGACGAUGAGGGAGGUAAAACGCUGCUGCACAUGUAACUGCAGCCAGAACGUGUAACCAAGCCCUCGGUGGCCCAGUUCCACGCAAUUGUCGCUGCAAAAACAUCCUGAAUCAGCACCAGCUGGCUGGAAAAUGAAAGCCGGGCUGUUUGCUCCCCUCUUGCACCUCUCAAAAUAACCAGCACCUUCCCUAUACUCACCCCUCCAAACACACACACUCCCACCUUUCCCAGCAAUUCAGUGACCAGCGGGAGCCGCAGCCGGCACAGCCGGUGUGCCCGGCCAGGUCCUCCCUGUGCCCCUACACCGUGACUGGAUUAAAGAAGCAUUUUCAAAGAUCACUGGGGUGUAAGUAUCUGGAAAGCAUUGGAAAAUGCAGUCACCCCCUCCCAGCGUCCGGGGUCCCGUGCGGAGGCUGUGCGGUACUGUGGGGCACCUCCAGCAAAGGGGCAAAACCAUCUUAAACCACUCCCAUCGUUGCCACAUUUAUCUACAUCUAAAGAAGAAAUUAAGCACCUAAAUCAUAUCGCAUAGAGCAGAAGGUGGGCAGCACGUUUCUUCAGGCACCUCCAGAAGCCCAAGCCUGGAGGCAGCGGCCAAGGAGCUGCAUGAGCCCGGGGGGCUGCUUGUCUCCAGCCCCUUUCUAUCCCGUGUCAGACCAGAGCUGGCAGCAUCGAGACCAAACUCUGCCAAAAGCUUGUUACUCCCUGAGCUCCGCACAGGGCAACAGCAAUGAAGGGAAUUGUGAAGAGGAUAUACAGGGGAUAUACGGCUCGUGUCUCAGAGAUUCAGCCUCAGACAAAUAAAAAAGCCCUCACUGCUUGCUUGCGUGUAUCUAUUCUGUGCUUAUGGCUUUGAGAGCAGAGAACUUCUGGUGUAAAUUACUUGCGUGACCUUUCCUGUUUGAUGACUUUACAGCUGGCUGCCCACACCUCAAAUAUAAUUUCAUUUAUGCUAUCCGUCAUCAACACCUGCUGGAGAGACUGGCAGCUUCUGUCGUUAACGUGAUUGGUGCUACUGUCACCCAGCGUUGUGGCUGGGCAGAAGGGGGGCACGCAGAUAUUGCUGCAUUGUACAGCCCUGGGCGGUGCAGGGUGGGAAUGAGGACUCUGGGCAUUAUCGGUCAGACCUGUGAUAGUAACGAGUAAAAUACUUCUUUUAUCUUCUCCUUCUCAUCCUUUGCCCACGCCAGAAUGAGCAGCACGAGCUGCUGAGGCUCCUGCUGAACGUGGCAGGGUGGAAAUCCUAUUUUUCCGGUUCUUUUUCCUGCCCUGCAAGACCUUCUUCCACGUGGCUGUCCACUGCACAGCCCUCGAAGGCUCUGCUCUCCCAGCUCCUUCUUGGUUACGACUCCUUGCAUUUCCAGGGACGCGUGUCCACAGCAGCCUCCCCGCAGCCAGAAAACUGCCCAGGGCAAGAACUGGCUGCAUUGUUUCUUGUCUGGAGACCCCCUUGCUCAACAGCACCCUUCUCUAACACAGCGCACCCAGGGUAUUCUCACGACACAAUUAAAAUUGUGAAGAAUUUCAAAUUAAAUUCAACCUGUUUUAAAAACAAUGUCACAACAGCCUCCAACAGUAAAUUCUAUGGACUAAUCAGGCAUGUGCUUUAUUUCUUUCAAUCCCUUUUCAGCUAUGCUUAAUUACACUUAAUCAUUAUAAUCAUGGUCUCUGCCUUCCUACCUACAACCCACUUGCCCAGGAAAACAAUUCUCUCCGGUACACCUCUCCUACGCUUGUAAAGCCAAUUAUUGGAGUUUCUGAGCUAGCGGGAGGAAUGCUAAUCCUUACAUGGCUCCGCUCCUCGGCAAGAGGCUGGGGCUGACUCUGUCAUCUUUAGAAAGCGCCUCUCAGCAGUUAAGAACGGGCAGAUGCAAUUCAGGCAACUAUUUUAUCCCCACAGACAAGCUGAAGCACACUUAAGGGACCGUUCAUUAAAACCCCCAUCGCAAGAGGCGAGGGAAAAGCUGUGGAGCGUGGGUGGCGACGACCCCUCUCCCUGCAGCUCUGCACCGAAGCCGAGAGCCAGAUCCCAAACCCUCCUUUGACUCCUAAUUUCGGACUUCACAGAUGCCUGGGGCACAGAUGCCUGCCGCUGCUGGCUGCGACUGCAUCAGGUAUAUCCCUGCGCAUUUAUUACGCCUGUAGAAACACGGGGGAGAGACAGAGCUUGUACCACGGGAAAACAUUUAGUGUACAUUUAGUGUUCAAAGAACAUGCAUUCACGUGAAGAGAAAAAAAAACGAUCUUCAGAGGAAAAGGCAUCUCUGAGCAUCUGUGCAUGUGGCUGUCCUGAAAGUGUUAGGCUAAUUUGACAAGAGGAAAGAAAACAAACCCAACGCUGCCUACCAUCCCUUCAUCGCCUGAGCAGCAAAGGACUUAGUUUAUAAAAAGGAGUAGAUGAAUCAUACGAUGACUAGCACCUGCUUGCUAGCUGAUGCUUAAAGAAAACCUAAUUAUGGGCAAAAUUCACCUCUUUGGUCCACACAGCCUUGAGCCACACGCUGACCCCUCCCGUAAGAGCAGCCUGUGUAAGAACUGAAAACAGAGCCGGGAAAGACUCCCCCCACACAGACCGACGUUUCGUUGAGGCCACCCGUUCCAGCAGACAGCUCACUCGAGGGAUCCCGAAAGAGCCGGCCAGGCAGCGCACGGUCGGGGGGCAGGCAGGAGACCCAGCCCCAGCCCCUCAAAAGGCUCCUUGUCGCUUGACACCCAGCAGCCUCGCCUCUUCCAGGGGAAGUUUACAAACAUCCUUCCCCUCGUUCCAGCCCAGCGAGCAUAAGGACUACUGGCAGACUGAGCUUAACAGCCGCUGAAGUGUUCAGUACCGCCUUGUAACCCUGCGUACCAGCAGGUUCAAGUGCAGCACUCCUCUGGAAGGGAGAGCGUGGCAGCACCCCGCACGUGGCGAGUCCAGCCAUCACUGGUCAUUUAUACCAUCGCUGUUACUGGAAGAUAUGUCCAAAGUGUUCAGGCUGGUAAUUUUGAGGCCCUUUGGAAUGGCCUUAGGAAGUUCCCGGCUCUUGCUUUCAGAAAAAUCAGGUCCCUUCAAAACAUAUCAAGCAGAAGACCCAAAUCUGAAGCUCCAAACCAGCUAGCCACCGUUGAAGCGUCUUAGCUUACAAGUAUAAAUUAGAUAGGCAGCUUAAAAAAAGCACGCAGCCUCGUGCCUUUAAAAUGUCAGGUGGCAGAAAUUAAAGCGGACAAUUUUGUGCUACAGAACAACUCUCUGGCUAGACCGCUGCGGCUGCCUCCUAAAGCCCCGUGCGCCAAAUGGACCGGCUACCUGCGCCGGCAUCGCCCUCUUACGAGGCAAAGGCUGAAAAGUGAAACCCAGCAAACCGAAAGGAAUAUUGCUAAAUGCAAGUGCACGCCAUCAUCUUCUUCUGCCUGUCAGAAUGAGUCAGGAAUCUCCUGAUUAAUUUUCCCUUCGAGAAACCACGUUAAUUAACGAACGGCAAUAAUUAAUAAUGGAUGGAAUAUAGCACACGAGCAGCAAUGGGCCGGACUCCAGGCUUACGCCCCGCAGUCCGACUCUUUGUGCAGAGAUGCAGGUUUCACAUUGACAUCCCUCAGUGUAAUUUAGGCAGAAUUAUGUGAAUACACCAUUAGUACCGGGUUCUCCAGAUCCUUAGCUGGCAUUAAACAGCGCUCACGUUACCGCACACCGCGCAGCUCUGAACAGCGAUGUGAUACGAUACCCUCCUACAUCACAUCAACAAGCGUUAGAGCACGGCAAGAUAAGCUUAUUUUUUUUUUUUUUAAAUGAGAAACUGCCACUCGGUCCUACGAAACCCUCGUACAGAGCCCGUCCCGUGAAGAUCAGUGACCGCAGCAGACCGAGCAGGCACCGUGCCCGCAGGCUACGGCGCUGCACGUCCGUAAAUACACACGCUACGAACAAAGACAUUCAACGAACGCUUAAAUGCCUGCGUGUGCGCAUUCCGUUACCGUUUUCAGGUUGUAAACUUUGUUUUAAUCAGACAAUUGCCAUUCACCCAUACGAAAACAAGGAAAACAUUCACUCGGUGUUAUCUGCAAACUUUCUGUGUGAAACACGCAUCAUUUAAUCACAGAGGUCGUAGCUUUUUAUUGCAGCAUGAUUUCAUCUUCAAACUAUUCCAGUAUCCACUUGUGUACAGUAGGUUACCCAUUUAUAGGUUUCUAAUAAAAGCAAAUCUGCCUUAAGUGGCUAUUACUGGAUUUCUCCUUUCAGCCUAGGG
Molecule: non-coding RNA, 10195 nt
Organism: Phalacrocorax carbo (great cormorant)
Lineage: Eukaryota; Metazoa; Chordata; Aves; Suliformes; Phalacrocoracidae
Source: RefSeq, a predicted model, not a curated record